ACUGAUGUAAAGGCACUUGUCCUUCCCCAC
Molecule: non-coding RNA, 30 nt
Filed under: Mus musculus (house mouse)
Lineage: Eukaryota; Metazoa; Chordata; Mammalia; Rodentia; Muridae
Source: RNAcentral